RNAcentral lists this unclassified non-coding RNA (240 nucleotides) under soil metagenome. Its description in RNAcentral is "partial contains 5.8S ribosomal RNA, internal transcribed spacer 2, and large subunit ribosomal RNA". The record is from RNAcentral.
AACCAUAGAAACCUGCGGAGUACCUGCGGAGGGAUCAUUACAGAGUUGCAAGACUCCCUAAACCAUUGUGAACGUUACCUAAACCGUUGCUUCGGCGGGCGGCCCGGGUCCUUCCCGGCGCCCCUCGGCCCUCGCGGGCGCCCGCCGGAGGUAAACCAAACUAUUGCAUUGUAUGGCCUCUCUGAGUCUCCUGUACUGAAUAAGUCAAAACUUUCAGCAAUGGAUCUCAGAUCGGAAGAG